CACGUAGGGCGCAAGCGUUGUCCGGAAUUAUUGGGCGUAAAGAGCUCGUAGGCGGUCUGUUGCGUCCGCUGUGAAAACUCGGGGCUUAACCCCGAGCCUGCAGUGGAUACGGGCAGACUAGAGGUAGGUAGGGGAGAAUGGAAUUCCCGGUGUAGCGGUGAAAUGCGCAGAUAUCGGGAGGAACACCGGUGGCGAAGGCGGUUCUCUGGGCCUUACCUGACGCUGAGGUACGGAAGCGUAGGGAGCAAACGGG
Molecule: ribosomal RNA, 253 nt
Filed under: uncultured bacterium
Lineage: Bacteria
Description: partial 16S ribosomal RNA
Rfam family: Bacterial small subunit ribosomal RNA
Source: RNAcentral